AUAGGUCUGCGGCUGAUUAGGUCGUUGGUGGGGUAAUGGCCCACCAAGCCGAUGAUCGGUACGGGUUGUGAGAGCAAGGGCCCGGAGAUGGAACGUGAGACAAGGUUCCAGACCUACGGGGUGCAGCAGGCGCGAAACCUCCGCAAUGUACGAAAGUGCGACGGGGGGAUCCCAAGUGUUAUGCUUUUUUGUAUGACUUUUCAUUAGUGUAAAAAGCUUUUAGAAUAAGAGCUGGGCAAGACCGGUGCCAGCCGCCGCGGUAACACCGGCAGCUCGAGUGGUAGCUGUUUUUAUUGGGCCUAAAGCGUUCGUAGCCGGUUUGAUAAGUCUUUGGUGAAAGCUUGUAGCUUAACUAUAAGAAUUGCUGGAGAUACUAUUAGACUUGAAGUCGGGAGAGGUUAGAGGUACUACCGGGGUAGGGGUGAAAUCCUAUAAUCCUGGGAGGACCACCUGUGGCGAAGGCGUCUAACUGGAACGAUCUUGACGGUGAGUAACGAAAGCCAGGGGCGCGAACCGGAUUAGAUACCCGGGUAGUCCUGGCCGUAAACGAUGUGGACUUGGUGUUGGAAUGGCUUUGAGUUGUUCCGGUGCCGAAGGGAAGCUGUUAAGUCCACCGCCUGGGAAGUACGGUCGCAAGACUGAAACUUAA
This 649-nucleotide ribosomal RNA is filed under the name uncultured archaeon. RNAcentral describes it as "bacterial SSU rRNA". It matches the Rfam family "Archaeal small subunit ribosomal RNA", at positions 209 to 859 of the family's 1478-position model. The record is from RNAcentral.